GGCGGUUUGGCCGAGUGGUUAAGGCGAUUGACUCGAAUGGAAAACAACUCUUCGGAGACAUUCCUGGAAAUCAAUUCCGUUCGCGGGCGCAUGUUCGAAUCAUGCAGCCGUCG
RNAcentral lists this transfer RNA (113 nucleotides) under Penicillium vulpinum. It matches the Rfam family "tRNA". Rfam says of the family: Transfer RNA (tRNA) molecules are approximately 80 nucleotides in length. The record is from Rfam by way of RNAcentral. Lineage: Eukaryota; Fungi; Ascomycota; Eurotiomycetes; Eurotiales; Aspergillaceae.